CUCUACCUUUUAAUGCCAGCGGCCUUUUGUUCCUUGGAGCAAGGUUGCUUGUGCGUCUUUGUGCGUCAUGUUGCACUUUCGCAGUGCGCAUGACGCAUUGAGUAUGUGGGGAACCUUUGCAAGUCCAACUGAAUUGAGUGUUCACACACACAUUAAGUUGCGUUACUUGCGAAGGAGGCCUCGACAUUUCUGUGGCCAUUUAUGAGCCCUCCUCCAAGGCAUGAAGUUAGGUCAGAGAACCCGCUGAAUUUAAGCAUAUAAGUAAGCGGAGGACAAGAAACUAAAUAGGAUUCCCUCAGUAAUGGCGAAUGAACAGGGAACAGCUCAGCAUGGAAAUCGGGACUUUCGGGUCUUGAAUUGUAGUCUCAAGAUGUACUGCCAACGGAGGCGCAGAUGUAAGCCUCUUGGAAAAGAGCAUCAACGAGGGUGAGAGUCCCGUUUGUCAUCUGCAGUCCCCCGUGCACGGUGUGCGUUCGAAGAGUCACGUUCCUCGGGAUUGGAGCGCAAAGUGGGUGGUAAAUUUCAUCUAAAGCUAAAUAUUGGUUCGAGACCGAUAGCAAACAAGUACCAUGAGGGAAAGGUGAAAAGGACUUUGAAAAGAGAGUUAAAAGUGCCUGAAAUUGCUGAAAGGGAAGCGAAUGGAACCAGCGUUCUUGAUGAGAUUGUUGCGCACUCUGGUGAUUGCUGGCUGCCUCACCGCAAGGGGGGUAGUUGGUUUUGAUCUAGACGUGCGUGGUGUUUCUUGUCUUGUGUGUCAUCGUCGGUGCAUGGGGGAGGAAACCUCCAGGGGGAUGGUAGCUCGACCAAGGUCGUGUGAAUACCUCUGGUAGUACUCGUCUGUGUAUCGAUCCUGCGUGCUUGGUUGCAGUGUUUGGUUUGCUUGCUUGUAUCCGAAGGAGCUUGCUCUCAGGCUGCCUGUAAGUACGCUGGGCACUUCUCAGGCACAAAGACGAUGACUAAAUGGUUCUAUUCGACCCGUCUUGAAACACGG
This 991-nucleotide small RNA is filed under the name Azadinium polongum. RNAcentral describes it as "eukaryotic LSU rRNA". The stretch from base 217 to 991 matches the Rfam family "Eukaryotic large subunit ribosomal RNA", at positions 1 to 664 of the family's 3401-position model. Lineage: Eukaryota; Dinophyceae; Gonyaulacales; Amphidomataceae. The record is from RNAcentral.